GGUGGGGUGGCCGAGUGGUUGAAGGCGACGGUCUUGAAAACCGUUAUACCCCAAAAGGGUAUCGUGAGUUCGAAUCUCACCCCCACCG
This 88-nucleotide transfer RNA is filed under the name Patescibacteria group bacterium. RNAcentral's name for it is "tRNA-Ser". It matches the Rfam family "tRNA". From Rfam's summary of the family: Transfer RNA (tRNA) molecules are approximately 80 nucleotides in length. Their secondary structure includes four short double-helical elements and three loops (D, anti-codon, and T loops). The record is from RNAcentral.